RNAcentral lists this long non-coding RNA (367 nucleotides) under Sorghum bicolor (sorghum). RNAcentral's name for it is "long non-coding RNA (SBIC_LNC005266)". The record is from RNAcentral. Lineage: Eukaryota; Viridiplantae; Streptophyta; Magnoliopsida; Poales; Poaceae.
GUCCUGGGAUUCGCUGGAUGGCGUAGUCAGUGAUUCCGACGGCGCCUCCUCUUCGUGUAUAACCAUCUUCUUUUCCUGACUCGGUGCUAUGGUCUCCUCAAAAUAGUUCUGUUCAAGAUGUGUGUCUUCAGACCUUACCACUUCUCCUUCGUAGUCUACCCAUCCGUCUUUGAUGAUUUGCGUCCUUUGGUUUCGGUUGCGUCGCCUUCAGAGGGGAAGUGAAUGUGGACUUCUCCGGUUCCAAUAUAGAUGAUGUCUUUGAUAGUGUUGAGGAACGGUCUUCCAAGGAUGGUGGGUGGAUCAUACUCGUCGUCUCCCAUGUCAAUGACCUGAAAAUCAUCUGGAGCUGAAUGUAUGUUGGUUGUAG